UCGUAACAAGGUUUCCGUAGGUGAACCUGCGGAAGGAUCAUUACUGAGUGCGGACCCCUCGCGGGUCCAACCUCCCACCCGUGUCUCUUGAAUACCCUGUUGCUUUGGCGGGCCCACCGGGUCGCCCCGGUCGCCGGGGGGCACUGCGCCCCCGGGCCUGCGCCCGCCAGAGCGCUCUGUGAACCCUAAUGAAGAUGGGCUGUCUGAGUGUGAUUUUGAAUUAUCAAAACUUUCAACAAUGGAUCUCUUGGUUCCGGCAUCGAUGAAGAACGCAGCGAAAUGCGAUAAGUAAUGUGAAUUGCAGAAUUCCGUGAAUCAUCGAAUCUUUGAACGCACAUUGCGCCCCCUGGCAUUCCGGGGGGCAUGCCUGUCCGAGCGUCAUUUCUGCCCUCAAGCGCGGCUUGUGUGUUGGGUGUGGUCCCCCCGGUGUUGGGGGGACCUGCCCGAAAGGCAGCGGCGACGUCCCGUCUAGGUCCUCGAGCGUAUGGGGCUUUGUCACCCGCUCGGGAGGGGCCUGCGGGCGUUGGCCACCCACGAUAUUUUUUUACCGUUGACCUCGGAUCAGGUAGGAGUUACCCGCUGAACCUAAGCAUAUCA
RNAcentral lists this unclassified non-coding RNA (597 nucleotides) under Talaromyces atroroseus. RNAcentral describes it as "sequence contains 18S rRNA gene, ITS1, 5.8S rRNA gene, ITS2, 28S rRNA gene". The stretch from base 228 to 381 matches the Rfam family "5.8S ribosomal RNA". The record is from RNAcentral. Lineage: Eukaryota; Fungi; Ascomycota; Eurotiomycetes; Eurotiales; Trichocomaceae.